GAUUAACGCUGGCGGCGUGCCUUAUGCAUGCAAGUCGAACGGUUCCGAUUUAUCGGGAUAGUGGCAAACGGGUGAGUAACACGUAAGUAACCUGCCCCUAAGUAGAGGAUAACUCUAAGAAAUUAGAGCUAAUACUUUAUGUGGUGAUGGAGGUAAGGCUACAUCACUAAAGCCUUAGGGUGCUUAGGGAGGGGCUUGCGUCCGAUUAGCUAGUUGGUAGGGUAAUGGCUUACCAAGGCAGUGAUCGGUAGCUGGUCUGAGAGGGCGAUCAGCCACACUGGGACUGAGAUACGGCCCAGACUCCUACGGGAGGCAGCAGCAAGGAAUUUUGUGCAAUGGGCGAAAGCCUGACACAGCGACGCCGCGUGAGGGAAGAAGGCCUUCGGGUUGUAAACCUCUUUUCUCAGGGAAGAAUAAUGACGGUACCGUGAGGAAUAAGUCUCGCUAACUA
RNAcentral lists this ribosomal RNA (451 nucleotides) under uncultured bacterium. RNAcentral describes it as "bacterial SSU rRNA". It matches the Rfam family "Bacterial small subunit ribosomal RNA", at positions 28 to 503 of the family's 1533-position model. The record is from RNAcentral.